This 69-nucleotide transfer RNA is filed under the name Aegotheles bennettii. RNAcentral describes it as "tRNA-Ala". It matches the Rfam family "tRNA". From Rfam's summary of the family: Transfer RNA (tRNA) molecules are approximately 80 nucleotides in length. The record is from RNAcentral. Lineage: Eukaryota; Metazoa; Chordata; Aves; Caprimulgiformes; Aegothelidae.
AAGACUCUAGCUUAAUUAAAGUGUCUGAGUUGCAUUCAGAUGAUGUAGGUUAAUGACCUACGGGCCUUA